UACGUAGGGGGCAAGCGUUGUCCGGAUUUAUUGGGCGUAAAGAGCGUGUAGGCGGCCAGACAGGUCCGUUGUGAAAACUGGAGGCUCAACCUCCAGACGUCGAUGGAAACCGUCUGGCUAGAGUCCGGAAGAGGAGAGUGGAAUUCCUGGUGUAGCGGUGAAAUGCGCAGAUAUCAGGAAGAACACCCGUGGCGAAGGCGGCAUCCUGGACCGACAUUGACGCUGAGGAGCGAAAGCCAGGGGAGCAAACGGG
This 253-nucleotide ribosomal RNA is filed under the name uncultured bacterium. Its description in RNAcentral is "partial 16S ribosomal RNA". It matches the Rfam family "Bacterial small subunit ribosomal RNA", at positions 524 to 776 of the family's 1533-position model. The record is from RNAcentral.